GAUGAACGCUGGCGGCGUGCCUAAUACAUGCAAGUCGAGCGAACGGACGAGAAGCUUGCUUCUCUGAUGUUAGCGGCGGACGGGUGAGUAACACGUGGUUAACCUACCUAUAAGACUGUGAUAACUUCGUGAAACCGGAGCUAAUACCGGUUAAUCUUUUGUACCGCAUGGUUCAAAAGUGUAAGACGGUCUUUCUGUCACUUAUAGAUGGAUCCGCGAUGCAUUAGCUAGUUGGUAAGGUAACGGCUUACCAAGGCAACGAUGCAUAGCCGACCUGAGAGGGUGAGCGGCCACACUGGAACGGAGACACGGUCAAGACUCCUACGGGAGGAAGCAGUAGGGAAUAUGCCGCAAUGGGCGAAAGCAUGACGGAGAAAAGCCGCGUGAGUGAUGAAGGGCGUCGGAUCGUAAAACUCUGUUAUUAGGGAAGAACAUAUGUGUAAGUAACUGUGCACAUCUUGACGGUACCUAAUCAGAAAGCCACGGCUAACUACGUG
RNAcentral lists this ribosomal RNA (497 nucleotides) under uncultured bacterium. RNAcentral describes it as "partial 16S ribosomal RNA". It matches the Rfam family "Bacterial small subunit ribosomal RNA", at positions 28 to 507 of the family's 1533-position model. The record is from RNAcentral.